Molecule: ribosomal RNA, 587 nt
Filed under: uncultured bacterium
Lineage: Bacteria
Description: partial 16S ribosomal RNA
Rfam family: Bacterial small subunit ribosomal RNA
Source: RNAcentral
UGGGGAAUUUUGGACAAUGGGCGCAAGCCUGAUCCAGCCAUGCCGCGUGCGGGAAGAAGGCCUUCGGGUUGUAAACCGCUUUUGUCAGGGAAGAAAUCUUCUGAGUUAAUACCUCGGGAGGAUGACGGUACCUGAAGAAUAAGCACCGGCUAACUACGUGCCAGCAGCCGCGGUAAUACGUAGGGUGCAAGCGUUAAUCGGAAUUACUGGGCGUAAAGCGUGCGCAGGCGGUUUUGUAAGACAGAGGUGAAAUCCCCGGGCUCAACCUGGGAACUGCCUUUGUGACUGCAAGGCUUGAGUGCGGCAGAGGGGGGAUGGAAUUCCGCGUGUAGCAGUGAAAUGCGUAGAUAUGCGGAGGAACACCGAUGGCGAAGGCAAUCCCCUGGGCCUGCACUGACGCUCAUGCACGAAAGCGUGGGGAGCAAACAGGAUUAGAUACCCUGGUAGUCCACGCCCUAAACGAUGUCAACUGGUUGUUGGGAAGGUUCCUUCUCAGUAACGUAGCUAACGCGUGAAGUUGACCGCCUGGGGAGUACGGCCGCAAGGUUGAAACUCAAAUGAAUUGACGGGGUCAUAGCUGUUUCCUG